RNAcentral lists this long non-coding RNA (385 nucleotides) under Manihot esculenta (cassava). RNAcentral's name for it is "long non-coding RNA (MESC_LNC006298)". The record is from RNAcentral. Lineage: Eukaryota; Viridiplantae; Streptophyta; Magnoliopsida; Malpighiales; Euphorbiaceae.
UAAAGAAUUUUGAAAAGCAACUGGCUCUAUGGGAGAUGUAGAUGCAAUAGAUGGAGUGGAAGAAGGACGAGUGGAUGAGUAGAUAGAAGGGGAGAGUUUUGAUUUUGAAGUCGCAUAGGACUAGGAGAAGAUAGAGGUGGAAUUUGAGCAUGAGAUAAAAAAGGAGACGAUAUUAGAGAAUUUUAAUUCAAAUUUGAAAUAGGAGAUUGACCUGAUUCAGACGGAAAAGAUUGAGUCCACAUUUGAAGCCCCGGUUGAGUAGGAGGAGUAGCAGGAGGAGGAGCAUGAAUAGGAGGAGGAGGCGGCGGAGCAUGAAUAGGACGAAGAGGCGGCGGAGGCGGAGCAAGAGCAGGAGCAGGAGCAGGAACAUCUGCAUCAUCUGGAC